Molecule: ribosomal RNA, 433 nt
Filed under: uncultured bacterium
Lineage: Bacteria
Description: partial 16S ribosomal RNA
Rfam family: Bacterial small subunit ribosomal RNA
Source: RNAcentral
AACGAACGCUGGCGGCAGGCCUAACACAUGCAAGUCGAGCGAGGACUUCGGUCCUAGCGGCGGACGGGUGAGUAACGCGUGGGAACGUGCCCUUUGCUUCGGAAUAGCCCUGGGAAACUGGGAGUAAUACCGGAUGAGCCCUUUGGGGGAAAGAUUUAUCGGCGAAGGAUCGGCCCGCGUUGGAUUAGGUAGUUGGUGGGGUAAUGGCCUACCAAGCCGACGAUCCAUAGCUGGUUUGAGAGGAUCAUCAGCCACACUGGGACUGAGACACGGCCCAGACUCCUACGGGAGGCAGCAGUGGGGAAUCUUAGACAAUGGGGGAAACCCUGAUCUAGCCAUGCCGCGUGAGCGAUGAAGGCCUUAGGGUUGUAAAGCUCUUUCAGCUGGGAAGAUAAUGACGGUACCAGCAGAAGAAGCCCCGGCUAACUCCGUG